Long non-coding RNA from Mastomys coucha (southern multimammate mouse), 1012 nucleotides. RefSeq lists it as uncharacterized. Lineage: Eukaryota; Metazoa; Chordata; Mammalia; Rodentia; Muridae. The transcript is spliced from 2 exons. The record is from RefSeq and is a predicted model, not a curated record.
GCCCCCGACGCUUCAGCGGAAUGCGCCGCUCCGGGAUUGGGCGAGCGGGCUUGUCCAUCCAGCGCGGCGCUGAGUGUUCUGUGAGCUGAGACUGCGCGGCCUUCGACAGUAGCGGUUCCCGAGUUCAACCCAACCUACAAUGGUUCCUGCAUCUGAAAGGGCCGACCAGCUACAGAUCUUAGGGACAGGGAGCGACAAAGAAAAUCAAGCCUCGGAGAAAAAUGUAAGAUGCUUGCUCAUGAAAGCCACAACCAAAAUAAGCUUUGUGAGCAACUUCCGAGGGCCCCGGCGCGUGGGUAGCCUUCAACUCUCGGCUCCCAGUCCUGUGGAAAGGACAGUUACCUUUGCCCUUGGGCUAAGCACCGCCGUGGUACAGUCCCAGCCACCUGCCAAGGCAUCAGUAAAUCGGUUCUCCUUCCUGACUAGCCCUACAGCCACCCAUAACCUGCCUCACUAUUUCCCAACCACCUUUGUUGCUUAGUGUAGGUGUGGCACCUACAAGGAACACUCUAGGUUAGGUAAUUUUAUUGAAACAUGAGUUUUUUGCCUCCAGCGUAGCUGCACCCAUAUACCUAGAUUGCAAAGUCUAUUAAAUGAGGAACUGUUUCAGUGUUCACCCACGCCUACUCCGUGCCUAGCAGAUCAUCGUCAAUAAUCGAGGAAUUAAUGCAUCUUCCUUCCACCUUUUAAAAAGUCAUUUUUAUUUUUUGUGUGUUCGAGUGUUUGGUGUACAUGUAUACUUAUGCAUCGUGGACCUGCUGCCCCUAGAGGCCAAAAAAGGGUAUAGGAUCCUCUGGAACUGGAGUUACAGAUGGUUUUGAACCACCCCGUGGGUGCUGGGAAUCAAACUCAGGUCCCUUGGAAGAGCAGCGCUCUUAAUCACUGAACCUCCAGCCCCUUCCUUUCACUAUAAUACAGGCUCUACCUGUAAAUCCUAAAAAAUUAUUUUCUGCUUUCAACUUAAUUGCAUGUUAAUAAAUAUAUGGGUGACCUGCCCUAGGUAAAAUGCAAA